CAUGGUCUUGGAUGCUCAACAGAAGUGCUUGCCUUGGUGAUCCAAAAAAGGCAGGAUCCGGCCGGGGGCAAGGUGAUUAUUCUGUCUGAUGAGGAGAAUAAGAGCCAGUUUGUGGUAUUGACAGAAGAAUGAAAGUAAAGUCUUGAAAGAUGGGAAGAUCAGGAGCAGUCUGGAGUCAUGGUAUAUGAAUGAACUAGUGAGAGUGGGCACAAAGUCUGAAGAUCUUUGUAGUGCAGCUAAUGUCUAAGGGAGAAUAUACCUACCCUAGAAGAGACAUUAAACAACCAGCAUUUCUCCAUUAACUUUCCCCUAGGAAGCUUACUGCAGGAAAGAAAUCCCUCAGAGUCCUGAAGAUACAGCUUUCAGAACUUAGGUGAAGCAAGAGGACUCAAGGUGUGCAAGAAUGGACAGUACAGAAUGCUCUGCUACACUGCUCAGAUUCCCCCUUCAGGAAGGAAGGACAAAUUCACUCAACUUCUGGGAGCAUUGAUGGUUGAGCUCUCAGCCAUCAGACCUUUUUGGAAGUUGCCCUCUUCUGAAAAGAGGCACAUUGCCCAAGAUCUUUCCUCCUCCAGAGCGCAGGCUGCACCUGAAGUCUGAUUGAUGUGGGGUAUGAUGGUCUGGUCUCCUUUCCCCAUCUAAAGGACUGUUCUAACCUCAGGGCUCUCCUUGAGUUUCCUUAGUUAGUUCUUAUUACUAUGUUGCAGUCCAACUUCUUCUUUGGCCUAAUUCUACUUUCCUCCCAUUCCCCAAUUGUUGAUCCUGACAGCAAUUUCCCCCCAAAUUUCUGUAAACUAAGCAUGAUCUCA
Molecule: long non-coding RNA, 809 nt
Filed under: Homo sapiens (human)
Lineage: Eukaryota; Metazoa; Chordata; Mammalia; Primates; Hominidae
Description: long intergenic non-protein coding RNA 1013
Source: RNAcentral